Sus scrofa (pig) is the source of this 991-nucleotide non-coding RNA. NCBI's taxonomy places the organism in Eukaryota, Metazoa, Chordata, Mammalia, Artiodactyla, Suidae. The record is from the annotation of a RefSeq genome assembly.
CUGCUCAGGUCCUUUUCCCUGCAGCUGGCUGAGUUCUUUGCAGAGGUGAGAGAGAAGACCUAGACAUCAGAAAGCUCCAGGCUCAUCUUUGCAGCUUUUGCAUUUUUAUCUAAGCAAGGAACUUGUCAUCCCAACCUUCCCCACACUUCUUAUUUCCUGCCACUUUCCUGUCUGCUCGAGGGAGAUUUUCCAGAAAAGACCAGACAGCGUUUCCACUGUGCAGCCAUGCUCCUGUUGUUCUUCUCAAUACUUGCGAUGAUAUUUGCCCUGAGAGAUGCCAGAGCCCAGACAGUGACCCAGCCUGAUGACCACGUUUUGGUUUCUGAGGGAAAAUCCCUGGAGCUGAGGUGCAACUAUUCCUAUGGUGCAACCCCAUAUCUCUUCUGGUAUGUCCAGUACCCCAGCCAAGGACUCCAGCUUCUCCUCAAGUACUUUUCAGGGGAUACCUUUGUUCGAGGCAUUAAAGGCUUUCAGGCUGAAUUUAAGAAGAGUGAAUCUUCCUUCAACCUGAAGAAACCCUCAGCCCAUUGGAGUGACUCAGCUGGGUACUUCUGUGCUGUGAGUGACACAGUGCCAGGUAUUGUAGGAGGAGCUGAACACAAACUACUCAUGGUAGUGGAGUUUUUGGAGACUCAAGAUCUCUUCUUGUAUUUAAAAAGUCUCUUGCUAUAUGGUGGCAAAUGAGGCAGAGAGCUGAGCAGACCUAAGUACUUAUAUAUAAGCCUAUAAUUCCAUGUCUGGUAAAUUUUAUUUCAGAAACUUUUUGCUUUUUUGUAGAAACCACAAAAUUCUAGAAUUACAUUCUUAUAUAAUAAUCAUAUGCCUAAGGACUUGCCUUUAGAUUGACUGCUGAAGGAGAUGACUACAUGGGUUUUCAUUUAUCAUUUCAUGUCUCACCCAACACAGACAAUGAAAGAUGAUCUCCUCAUGUUUUCUCCCUGAAAAUUUGCAUUUAUGUCUACUUGGUCAUUCACAGACAAUUUUCUUGAAA